CCUACGGGCGGCAGCAGUGAGGAAUAUUGGUCAAUGGUCGGGAGACUGAACCAGCCAAGCCGCGUGAGGGAUGAAGGUACAGAGUAUCGUAAACCUCUUUUGUCAGGGAACAAAGGCGGGGACGUGUCCCCGGAUGAGUGUACCUGAAGAAAAAGCAUCGGCUAACUCCGUGCCAGCAGCCGCGGUAAUACGGAGGAUGCGAGCGUUAUCCGGAUUUAGUGGGUUUAAAGGGUGCGCAGGCGGUAUGUUAAGUAAGCGGUCAAAGCUCGGGGCUCAACCCCGGCCCGCCGUUGAAACUGGCAGUCUCGAGUUGGAGAGAAGUAUGCGGAAUGCGCGGUGUAGCGGUGAAAUGCAUAGAUAUCGCGCAGAACUCCGAUUGCGAAGGCAGCAUGCCGGCUCCACACUGACGCUGAGGCACGAAAGCGUGGGUAUCGAACAGGAUUAGAUACCCCUGUAGUC
RNAcentral lists this ribosomal RNA (459 nucleotides) under uncultured bacterium. RNAcentral describes it as "partial 16S ribosomal RNA". It matches the Rfam family "Bacterial small subunit ribosomal RNA", at positions 338 to 795 of the family's 1533-position model. The record is from RNAcentral.